RNAcentral lists this Y RNA (98 nucleotides) under Propithecus coquereli (Coquerel's sifaka). RNAcentral describes it as "Y RNA (ENSPCOG00000004224.1)". It matches the Rfam family "Y RNA". From Rfam's summary of the family: Y RNAs are components of the Ro ribonucleoprotein particle (Ro RNP), in association with Ro60 and La proteins. The Y RNAs and Ro60 and La proteins are well conserved, but the function of the Ro RNP is not known. In humans the RNA component can be one of four small RNAs -- hY1, hY3, hY4 and hY5. Lineage: Eukaryota; Metazoa; Chordata; Mammalia; Primates; Indriidae. The record is from Rfam by way of RNAcentral.
GGCUGGUCUGAUGGUAGUGGGUUAUCAGAACUUAUUAACAUUAGUGCUACUAAAGUUGAUAUACACACCCCCAUAUUGCUAAAUUUGACUGGCUUAAA